This 1010-nucleotide ribosomal RNA is filed under the name Prasinoderma coloniale. Its description in RNAcentral is "partial Bacterial large subunit ribosomal RNA". It matches the Rfam family "Bacterial large subunit ribosomal RNA", at positions 828 to 1892 of the family's 2925-position model. Lineage: Eukaryota; Viridiplantae; Prasinodermophyta; Prasinodermophyceae; Prasinodermales; Prasinodermaceae. The record is from RNAcentral.
GCCAAUCAAACUCGGAAAUAGCUCGUACUCCCCGAAAUGCAUUUAGGUGCAGCCUCAAGUUUAGUUUAGUAGAGGUAGAGCGACUGGUUGGAUGCGGGGGCUUCACCGCCUACCAAAUCCUGUCAAACUCCGAAUGCUACUAAAUAUACUUGGGAGUGAGGGCAUGGGUGCUAAGGUCCUUGUCCGAAAGGGAAACAACCCAGACUAUCUGCUAAGGCCCCCAAAUGUAUGCUAAGUUGAUCAAACGUGGUCUGAUUGCAUUGACAGCUAGGAUGUUGGCUUGGAAGCAGCCAUUCAUUUAAAGAGUGCGUAACAGCUCACUGGUCGAGCGGUCCCGCAUGGAUAAUAAUCGGGCAUAAGCACACCACCGAAGCCGUGAACUUGUUUUAAGACAAGUGGUAGGGGAGCAUUGUAGUGUCGUCGAAGCAGAGCUGUGAGGCUUUGUGGAGAAGCUACAAACGAAAAUGUAGGCAUAAGUAACGAUAAUGUGGGCGAGAAACCCACACGCCGAAAGACCAAGGUUUCCCCGGCUAUGCUAAUCAGCCGGGGGUCAGUCGGGACCUAACACGAACCCGAAAGGGGUAGUGGAUGGACAAGCGGUUAAUAUUCCGCUACCCGCUUUUGCGAUAAAAGUGACGAGGAAGUGGCAUUGGUGCGCACUGACGGAAUAGUGCGUUGAACCAGAUGUAAGUCUGGGAUAGUACGGCAAGGCUACGGCUGCGCCGAUAAUCCAGUUUAGCUUUCUCCAAGAAAAGCGAGCAAAAGCGGCCCGUACCGUAAACCGACACAGGUGGUUGGGAUGAGUAUUCUAAGGCGCUCGAGAGAUUCAUGGCUAAGGAACUAGGCAAAAUAGACGCGUAACUUCGGGAGAAGCGUCGCCUCCCUCCGGGGAGGCCGCAGUGAAGAGGUCCAGGCGACUGUUUAUCAAAAACACAGGGCUCUGCAAAUUCGAGAGAAGACGUAUAGGGCCUGACACCUGCCCGGUGCCGGAAGGUUAAGGGGAGAUGUUA